UACGUAGGGGGCGAGCGUUGUCCGGAUUUAUUGGGCGUAAAGAGCUCGUAGGCGGUUUGGUAAGUUGGAUGUGAAACCUCCAGGCUCAACUUGGAGGGGUCAUUCGAUACUGCCAUGACUAGAGUUCGGUAGGGGAGUGUGGAAUUCCUGGUGGAGCGGUGAAAUGCGCAGAUAUCAGGAGGAACACCCGUAGCGAAGGCGGCACUCUGGGCCGGAACUGACGCUGAGGAGCGAAAGCGUGGGGAGCGAACAGG
This 254-nucleotide ribosomal RNA is filed under the name uncultured bacterium. Its description in RNAcentral is "partial 16S ribosomal RNA". It matches the Rfam family "Bacterial small subunit ribosomal RNA", at positions 524 to 776 of the family's 1533-position model. The record is from RNAcentral.